GACGAACGCUGGCGGCGUGCUUAACACAUGCAAGUCGAACGGAAAGUCCCUUCUUUUUUGUUGUGCUCGAUUUGCGAACGUGUGUGUAACACUUGAGUAACCUUCCCUUUACUUUGUGAUAACUUCUGGAAACUUGUGCUAAUACCUGAUAGGUUCUCCUGCUGCUUGGUGGGGUUUGGAAAUUUUCGGCGGUUGGGGAUGGACUCGCGGCUUAUCAGCUUGUUGGUGGGGUAGUGGCUUACCAAGGGUUUGACGGGUAGCCGGCCUGAGAGGGUGACCGGGAAAAUUGGGACUGAGAUACGGCACAGACGAGAACGGGAGGAAGCAGGGGGGAAGAUUGCAAAAUGGGAGGAAGCAUGAUGAAGAAAAGCAGGGAGCGGGAUGACGGCAUUCGGGUUGAAAAAAGAAGUAGAAUGUGAAGAAGAGUGAGUGACGGUAAUGGGUAAAGAAGCAACGGCUAACUACGUG
This 468-nucleotide ribosomal RNA is filed under the name uncultured bacterium. Its description in RNAcentral is "partial 16S ribosomal RNA". It matches the Rfam family "Bacterial small subunit ribosomal RNA", at positions 28 to 507 of the family's 1533-position model. The record is from RNAcentral.